Carassius auratus (goldfish) is the source of this 654-nucleotide long non-coding RNA. RefSeq lists it as uncharacterized. The transcript has 3 exons. NCBI's taxonomy places the organism in Eukaryota, Metazoa, Chordata, Actinopteri, Cypriniformes, Cyprinidae. The record is from RefSeq and is a predicted model, not a curated record.
UAGAGGCAGCCGGAGCAUUGUGGUGUUUCCAUAGAGGGCAAUGUUGAACCUAACCGUCUCCUGAGAAAGCUGCUGACCUUUCUUUCCAAGCUCUCCACCGUAGAAAUGGGAACCUCAUACACAAGUAGUUGAAUAUACUCUGCAUUAGUUGGACACCCAGCAGAAAGACGGAAAUUGAGUAAACACGUGGAGACUGAAAAGAGAUGAAGACAAAAAGCAGUGGAAACAUGGAGAUUGUGAAGAUCAUCAGAUGGAGCAGCUUCAGUGAUAUAAGACCAGACUUCUCUGAUCCACACACACAUGUGAAGAGCUGCUCUCAUCAAACACAGAAGAUCAGACAUGAUGAUGCAAGAACAUUAAAGUCUCUUCUGGACUCUCCAGCUCCUGCAGCAUUCUUCUCUUUAUUAUUUUAUGAAGCAUAUAUUGUACUUGUUUUCUGCAAUUCAGUAUAUAUAUUGCACUGCAUUGCAUUCAAGGAAAGUUUAACACUUCUGAACACUUUUCAAACAAAUAUGAAUAAAGUCCUUGUGUUUUCUUUCUCUCUCUCUAAGAUCAAAGUUCAGAUAUAAUAUAUGAAUAUGUGUUUUUAUUGAGUCACGUAUGAUCCCUCUCUCUCUCAAAUACAAAUUUAGCAGCUAGUGUGACAGUCAUCUC